Molecule: ribosomal RNA, 492 nt
Filed under: uncultured bacterium
Lineage: Bacteria
Description: partial 16S ribosomal RNA
Rfam family: Bacterial small subunit ribosomal RNA
Source: RNAcentral
AGUGAACGCUGGCGGUAGGCCUAACACAUGCAAGUCGAACGGCAGCACAGUAAGAGCUUGCUCUUACGGGUGGCGAGUGGCGGACGGGUGAGGAAUACAUCGGAAUCUACUUUUUCGUGGGGGAUAACGUAGGGAAACUUACGCUAAUACCGCAUACGACCUACGGGUGAAAGCAGGGGAUCUUCGGACCUUGCGCGAUUGAAUGAGCCGAUGUCGGAUUAGCUAGUUGGCGGGGUAAAGGCCCGCCAAGGCGACGAUCCGUAGCUGGUCUGAGAGGAUGAUAAGCCACACUGGAACUGAGACACGGUCCAGACUCCUACGGGAGGCAGCAGUGGGGAAUAUUGGACAAUGGGCGCAAGCCUGAUCCAGCCAUACCGCGUGGGUGAAGAAGGCCUUCGGGUUGUAAAGCCCUUUUGUUGGGAAAGAAAAGCAGCAGGUUAAUACCCCGCUGUUCUGACGGUACCCAAAGAAUAAGCACCGGCUAACUUCGUG